AUUGAACGCUGGCGGCAGGCCUAACACAUGCAAGUCGAGCGAGCGGCGGAAGGGUGAGUAAUGUCUGGGAAACUGCCUGAUGGAGGGGGAUAACUACUGGAAACGGUAGCUAAUACCGCAUACCAUCAGAUGUGCCCAGAUGGGAUUAGCUAGUAGGUGGGGUAAUGGCUCACCUAGGCGACGAUCCCUAGCUGGUCUGAGAGGAUGACCAGCCAAACUGGAACUGAGACACGGGCCAGACUCCUACGGGAGGCAGGAGUGGGGAAUAUUGCACCAUGGGCGCAAUCCUGAUGCAGCCAUGCCGCGUGUGUGAAGAAGGCCGUCGGGUUUGAACGCACUUUCAGCGGGUAGGCGUUACCCGCAGAAGAAGCACCGGCUAACUCCGUGCCAGCAGCCGCGGUAAUAC
This 406-nucleotide ribosomal RNA is filed under the name uncultured bacterium. RNAcentral's name for it is "partial 16S ribosomal RNA". It matches the Rfam family "Bacterial small subunit ribosomal RNA", at positions 30 to 526 of the family's 1533-position model. The record is from RNAcentral.